UACGUAGGGUGCAAGCGUUAAUCGGAAUUACUGGGCGUAAAGCGUGCGCAGGCGGUUUUGUAAGUCUGUCGUGAAAUCCCCGGGCUCAACCUGGGCAUUGCGAUGGAGACUGCAAGGCUAGAAUCUGGCAGAGGGGGGUAGAAUUCCACGUGUAGCAGUGAAAUGCGUAGAGAUGUGGAGGAACACCGAUGGCGAAGGCAGCCCCCUGGGUCAAGAUUGACGCUCAUGCACGAAAGCGUGGGGAGCAAACAGG
RNAcentral lists this ribosomal RNA (253 nucleotides) under uncultured bacterium. Its description in RNAcentral is "partial 16S ribosomal RNA". It matches the Rfam family "Bacterial small subunit ribosomal RNA", at positions 524 to 776 of the family's 1533-position model. The record is from RNAcentral.